This 194-nucleotide ribosomal RNA is filed under the name uncultured bacterium. RNAcentral describes it as "partial 16S ribosomal RNA". It matches the Rfam family "Bacterial small subunit ribosomal RNA", at positions 338 to 524 of the family's 1533-position model. The record is from RNAcentral.
CCUACGGGAGGCAGCAGUGGGGAAUUUUGGACAAUGGGCGCAAGCCUGAUCCAGCAAUGCCGCGUGCAGGAUGAAGGCCUUCGGGUUGUAAACUGCUUUUGUACGGAGCGAAAAGGCUCACACUAAUACUGUGGGCUCAUGACGGUACCGUAAGAAUAAGCACCGGCUAACUACGUGCCAGCAGCCGCGGUAAU